GGGUCUUUAGCUCAGUGGCAGAGCAUUUGACUGUAGAUUAAGAGGUCACCGGUUCAAACCCAGUAGGGCCCU
This is a transfer RNA of Ipomoea nil (Japanese morning glory), 72 nucleotides long. It matches the Rfam family "tRNA". From Rfam's summary of the family: Transfer RNA (tRNA) molecules are approximately 80 nucleotides in length. Their secondary structure includes four short double-helical elements and three loops (D, anti-codon, and T loops). The record is from Rfam. Lineage: Eukaryota; Viridiplantae; Streptophyta; Magnoliopsida; Solanales; Convolvulaceae.